This 75-nucleotide transfer RNA is filed under the name Clostridium kluyveri. RNAcentral describes it as "tRNA-Glu". It matches the Rfam family "tRNA". Rfam says of the family: Transfer RNA (tRNA) molecules are approximately 80 nucleotides in length. The record is from RNAcentral. Lineage: Bacteria; Bacillati; Bacillota; Clostridia; Eubacteriales; Clostridiaceae. RNAcentral also lists the same sequence under 10 other names.
GGCCCCUUGGUCAAGCGGUUAAGACACCACCCUUUCACGGUGGUAACAGGAGUUCGAUUCUCCUAGGGGUCACCA